RNAcentral lists this ribosomal RNA (468 nucleotides) under uncultured bacterium. RNAcentral's name for it is "partial 16S ribosomal RNA". It matches the Rfam family "Bacterial small subunit ribosomal RNA", at positions 28 to 507 of the family's 1533-position model. The record is from RNAcentral.
GACGAACGCUGGCGGCGUGCUUAACACAUGCAAGUCGAACGGUGAUGCUCCAGCUUGCUGGAGUGGAUCAGUGGCGAACGGGUGAGUAACACGUGAGCAACCUGCCCCAGACUCUGGAAUAAGCGCUGGAAACGGCGUCUAAUACUGGAUACGAAACUGGCCCGCAUGGGCAUGGUUUGGAAAGUUUUUCGGUUUGGGAUGGGCUCGCGGCCUAUCAGCUUGUUGGUGAGGUAAUGGCUCACCAAGGCGACGACGGGUAGCCGGCCUGAGAGGGCGACCGGCCACACUGGGACUGAGACACGGCCCAGACUCCUACGGGAGGCAGCAGUGGGAAAUAUUGCACAAUGGGCGAAAGCCUGAUGCAGCGACGCCGCGUGAGGGAUGACGGCCUUCGGGUUGUAAACCUCUUUCAGCAGGGAAGAAGCGAAAGUGACGGUACCUGCAGAAGAAGCACCGGCUAACUACGUG